This 404-nucleotide long non-coding RNA is filed under the name Brassica rapa (field mustard). Its description in RNAcentral is "long non-coding RNA (BRAP_LNC005679)". The record is from RNAcentral. Lineage: Eukaryota; Viridiplantae; Streptophyta; Magnoliopsida; Brassicales; Brassicaceae.
UUCUUUUGUUUCUUACACAAACAAUAUUAAAAAAUAAAUAAAUAUAUUUCUAACAUCUACUUAACACUGAAUUAUUUACUGAACAUAUUUUAAUAAUAUAAAACAUAGUAAUCAGUUGUUUCAAUAAAAUCUGAACAAAAAGAAAAAUAAAAAACAUUUCCACCAUAUCUUAAUUAUGUGGGGUAUAUUGUAAUUAUACCAUAAUAUCUAACCAAACAUAACUUAAUCUAAUUUAUUCAAAAUAGCAAAACUUAUAAAAUACCAUUGAAUCAUGAAUUCUUAAUUUACAAGUAACUCAUCUAAAUGCUCUUAUUUACUAAAAAACAACGAAAUUUCACCUCAAGAUUUAUAAAAUAACUUUAAAUCAUGAAAUGUUAAUUUAAGAGCAUAAAACACGAAUAUAA